RNAcentral lists this ribosomal RNA (459 nucleotides) under uncultured bacterium. Its description in RNAcentral is "partial 16S ribosomal RNA". It matches the Rfam family "Bacterial small subunit ribosomal RNA", at positions 338 to 795 of the family's 1533-position model. The record is from RNAcentral.
CCUACGGGCGGCAGCAGUGAGGAAUAUUGGUCAAUGGGCGAGAGCCUGAACCAGCCAAGUCGCGUGAGGGAAGACGGUCCUAUGGAUUGUAAACCUCUUUUGCCGGGGAGCAAAAAGGGGUACGUGUACCGCAUCUAGAAUACCCGGAGAAAAAGCAUCGGCUAACUCCGUGCCAGCAGCCGCGGUAAUACGGGGGAUGCGAGCGUUAUCCGGAUUUAUUGGGUUAAAAGGGUGCGCAGGCGGCGAGUUAAGUCAGCGGUAAAAUUUCGGGGCGCAACCCCGCAAAGCAGUUGAAACUGGAGUGCUAGAGUGGGCGAGAAGUAUGCGGAAUGCGUGGUGUAGCGGUGAAAUGCAUAGAUAUCACGCAGAACUCCGAUUGCGAAGGCAGCAUACCGGCGCCCAACUGACGCUCAGGCACGAAAGCGUGGGUAUCGAACAGGAUUAGAUACCCUUGUAGUC